This is a non-coding RNA of Immersiella caudata, 131 nucleotides long. The record is from the annotation of a GenBank genome assembly. NCBI's taxonomy places the organism in Eukaryota, Fungi, Ascomycota, Sordariomycetes, Sordariales, Lasiosphaeriaceae.
GGUCCGUUAACGUAGUGGUUAGUACACUCGAUUUUAGUAGUUUUUAUAGCCAGUUAAACUGGUUAUAAAGGCCUAUUUUUAAGCUGGUUUAUCCUGAUAAAAGGGCGUGGGUUCAAAUCCCACAUAGGUCA